AUUUUUUUCUUCGUCCAAUAAAAAAAGGAACCAAAAAACUGAAAAUGGGUCAGACCCUUUUAGAUGCUCUUAACGUUCGGGUCGUCGGUUCCGGCGAAAGAGUUUUGGUUUUAGCCCAUGGGGUCGGUACCGACCAAUCCGCUUGGAAUCGAAUUUUACCUUUUUUUCUCCGAGAUUACCGUGUUGUUCUGUACGACCUUGUCUGCGCCGGCAGUGUAAAUCCUGAUUUCUUCGAUUUCCGACGUUAUACGACACUUGACCCUUACGUUGAUGAUCUUCUACAUAUUCUCGAUGCUCUUGCAAUCGAUCGUUGUUCCUAUGUCGGACACUCUGUCUCCGCCAUGAUCGGAAUUCUCGCUUCGAUUCGCCGCCCUGAACUCUUCUCUAAACUCAUCCUCAUCGGAGCUUCGCCCAGAUUCUUGAAUGAUGAAGACUACCAUGGUGGAUUUGAACUCGGAGAAAUAGAGAAAGUGUUUUCAGCAAUGGAGGCAAAUUAUGAAGCAUGGGUCAAUGGUUUUGCCCCGUUAGCCGUCGGAGCCGACGUUCCGGCGGCUGUACGAGAAUUCAGUAGAACAUUGUUCAAUAUGAGACCAGACAUAACAUUGUUUGUGUCAAGGACAGUAUUUAAUAGUGACAUGAGGGGUGUUCUAGGUCUUGUGAAAGUACCAUGUCAUAUUUUUCAGACAGCAAGGGACCACUCUGUACCCGCUUCAGUCGCGACGUAUCUAAAGAACAACCUUGGUGGGAGGAACACCGUGCAUUGGUUGAAUAUUGAGGGACAUUUGCCACAUCUUAGCGCCCCGAAUUUAUUGGCUCAAGAACUAAGGAGGGCUCUUACUCAUAGGUGAUCGAUCCUGUUGAAGCGGGUACAGAGUGGUUGAAUUCAUAAAACUGAAUUAUCAUUUGUUUUGCGUCAACCAAACCAAAAACAAAGAGACAAAAGGACUAUGGAUGGUUUGUUUAAUUUUUGAACCUUUGAUACACUUUGUGGAUUUGUGGAAAAAGUUUGGAUUUUUACCCAAUAGGAUUUUGACAACAUUCAAGAAUAACAAUCCUUGCAAAAAAGAAACUUGAAUACACAAAUUUUGAGUUUAUUAUUUUUGUGAUGAAAAGAGGUUUUUG
RNAcentral lists this unclassified non-coding RNA (1122 nucleotides) under Hevea brasiliensis (rubber tree). The record is from RNAcentral. Lineage: Eukaryota; Viridiplantae; Streptophyta; Magnoliopsida; Malpighiales; Euphorbiaceae.